GACCGCGUAGCUCAGUUGGAAGAGCAUUGGGCUAGUAUUCCAAAGGUGGUAGGUUCGAAUCCCGCCGUGGCCA
Molecule: transfer RNA, 73 nt
Filed under: Paramuricea clavata
Lineage: Eukaryota; Metazoa; Cnidaria; Anthozoa; Malacalcyonacea; Plexauridae
Rfam family: tRNA
About the family: Transfer RNA (tRNA) molecules are approximately 80 nucleotides in length. Their secondary structure includes four short double-helical elements and three loops (D, anti-codon, and T loops). Further hydrogen bonds mediate the characteristic L-shaped molecular structure. tRNAs have two regions of fundamental functional importance: the anti-codon, which is responsible for specific mRNA codon recognition, and the 3' end, to which the tRNAs corresponding amino acid is attached (by aminoacyl-tRNA synthetases). tRNAs cope with the degeneracy of the genetic code in two manners: having more than one tRNA (with a specific anti-codon) for a particular amino acid; and 'wobble' base-pairing, i.e. permitting non-standard base-pairing at the 3rd anti-codon position.
Source: Rfam by way of RNAcentral